UACGCGAUGUGCGAGCGUUGUUCGGAAUCACUGGGCAUAAAGGGUGCGUAGGCGGUAUGCCAAGUCGGGUGUGAAAUCCCUCCGCUUAACGGAGGAACUGCACUCGAUACUAGCAUGCUAGAGGGUCAAAGGGGCAAGCGGAAUUCUAGGUGUAGCGGUGGAAUGCGUAGAUAUCUGGGAGAACGCCGAGGGCGAAGGCAGCUUGCUGGGUGACAACUGACGCUGAGGCACGAAAGCUAGGGGAGCAAACAGG
This 253-nucleotide ribosomal RNA is filed under the name uncultured bacterium. RNAcentral's name for it is "partial 16S ribosomal RNA". It matches the Rfam family "Bacterial small subunit ribosomal RNA", at positions 524 to 776 of the family's 1533-position model. The record is from RNAcentral.